Molecule: non-coding RNA, 107 nt
Organism: Acanthosepion pharaonis
Lineage: Eukaryota; Metazoa; Mollusca; Cephalopoda; Sepiida; Sepiidae
Source: the annotation of a GenBank genome assembly
ACGGCUACAUCACAUUGAAAUACCGGUUCCCGUACGAUCACUGAAGUUAAGCAACAUCGAACCUGGUCAGUAUCUAGAUGGGCGACCACUUGAGAAUACCAGGUGCC